AGAAAGUAAACAUUGAUGGGGUCUGCAUGCAAGUCCAGACAGAAAUGACCUACAAAUGAAUCAUUUACUGUCCUGUUCCUAUGUGAUUUGAGGGAAAAUUCUAUUUGGUGUUGGCUUUAU
Long non-coding RNA from Fundulus heteroclitus (mummichog), 120 nucleotides. RefSeq lists it as uncharacterized. NCBI's taxonomy places the organism in Eukaryota, Metazoa, Chordata, Actinopteri, Cyprinodontiformes, Fundulidae. The transcript is spliced from 2 exons. The record is from RefSeq and is a predicted model, not a curated record.